This 76-nucleotide small RNA is filed under the name Salmonella enterica. RNAcentral describes it as "partial RtT sRNA". It matches the Rfam family "RtT RNA", at positions 55 to 130 of the family's 130-position model. From Rfam's summary of the family: This family represents a bacterial cis-regulatory element known as RtT RNA. The exact function of RtT is unknown although it is thought that it may be involved in changing the cellular response in relation to amino acid starvation. The record is from RNAcentral. Lineage: Bacteria; Pseudomonadati; Pseudomonadota; Gammaproteobacteria; Enterobacterales; Enterobacteriaceae.
CAGCGAGAGAACGUUGCGUCAGCAACGGCCCGCAGGGCGAGCCACGCAGUGGCGAGUCAUCCUCUAUCACCGACCA